This is a long non-coding RNA of Astatotilapia calliptera (eastern happy), 999 nucleotides long. NCBI's taxonomy places the organism in Eukaryota, Metazoa, Chordata, Actinopteri, Cichliformes, Cichlidae. The record is from Ensembl.
GUGGCGUGCAGACUGGAGCAGCCAGGGAUCAAACCUCCAACCUUCCAGUUAGUAAUUCUACCUGCUGAGCUACAGUCUGUACUUCCUGAACAUCACACCCUCCUUUUGUUUCUUUAUUUCCAGUAGCAACCAGGACCAUAAUGAACCCUGACUCCCACAGACACUCAGGAUCCACCUGCCCAAGCUGCAUGAACCUGUUGUUGAUGUCAGAGAGUCAAACUCUGCUGAAGAGUGGGUUGUUUCCUGUUCAGCCACUGGUCGACCUGCUCCCACUGUAACACUCAGUGUCUCACAGUACAACACUGUCAUGUGUCCAACACCAACGCUACAGUCACUGUCACCACUACAGCUGUGCUCUCAGGUUCACGUAAACACAGCACACAGGUGGGAUGUGCAGCACGAGUGCUCUCUGCUCCUCACAGAGAGGUGAUGGAGACGAUUCCUGAGGUCCAGCAGACGUCAGAUUAUCAGUGAUGGCUACACAACCUUCUUUGCCAUUUGAGUGUGUCCAGUCCAGCUGAAACCAGCUCAUUACUGAUGGCAUGAAAACGAUCUGUGAGUCGUGUCCACAGAGGCUUCGCACACGGACUGUGUAGGUCUGAAGGAGGCUCAAUUUGAAGUCCAAUACAAGACUCAACAAGAGCAAAUAGGAACACUCCAACAACAGCUCCUAGAAGCUCAACACCAACUCAAGGAACAGGAAGACAAACAUAGGCAGGACCAGGAGACACUGAACAUGGAAAUCAGUGAGCUUAAAUCCCAGCUCUGCUCCAACAAGGAGCUUCAUGACAUGAAAGUAGAGACUCUUUAUCAAGAGUUGAAAGAAGUCAAAGCGUCCUACAUUAAAAUCACACAGGAGCAAAAUGAACAAAAUUCCAACACAGCAAAUGGAAAAUCUGAGCUUCUGGUGGAAAAAGACACCAAAGAACAGGACAAGGAAGAAGAAGAAGACUCCCUGACAUCAACUGAGAUGUCUCUGCAUGACUCUCUACAACAAAC